GGGUUAGUGUGUUAGGGGUUAGUGUGUUAGGGGUUAGUGUGUUAGAGGUUAGUGUGUUAGGGGUUAGUGUGUUAGGGGUUAGUGUGUUAGAGGUUAGUGUGUUAGGGGUUAGUGUGUUAGGGCUUAGUGUGUUAGGGGUUAGUGUGUUAGGGGUUAGUGUGUUAGGGGUUAGUUUGCCUGACUGUCUCUAUCUGUGUCUCCCCCUCUCUCUUUUUGGGUAUCUCUCUCUUUUUCUUUCCAUGUCUCUGUCUAUCUUUCAGUGUCACUUUGGGUUGCUUUAUCUCUCUCUUUCUGUGUCUCUCUCUCUCUCUCGUGUUUCUCUCUUUUCAUCUCUUGUGUCUCUCAUUCUCUGUCUGUAUCACUGUCUCUAUCCCACACUUUUUCUUUUUGUGUGUCUUUUUCUAUAACUCUCACUGUCUCUGUUGUUUUGGGUGUAUCUCUCUCUCUCGUUCUCUCUUUGGGUGUCUCUCGCUCAGUCUGUCUUUCUCUUCAAGUGUCUCUCUCUCUCUCUGUCUAUAUCUCUCGCUCUCUCUUUUCCUGUCUCUUUUUUUUAUAUCUUGGGUCUCUCUCUCCUUGAGUGUCUCUCUUUCUCUCUCUGGGUUGCAAUCUUUCUCUUAUUGG
Long non-coding RNA from Ictalurus punctatus (channel catfish), 621 nucleotides. Lineage: Eukaryota; Metazoa; Chordata; Actinopteri; Siluriformes; Ictaluridae. The record is from Ensembl.